UGAUGGAGAGUGACUAUGUCCC
RNAcentral lists this non-coding RNA (22 nucleotides) under Mus musculus (house mouse). The record is from RNAcentral. Lineage: Eukaryota; Metazoa; Chordata; Mammalia; Rodentia; Muridae.